ACAAGGAUGACUGACUGAGGUAAA
This 24-nucleotide microRNA is filed under the name Gallus gallus (chicken). Its description in RNAcentral is "microRNA Ros-gga". Lineage: Eukaryota; Metazoa; Chordata; Aves; Galliformes; Phasianidae. The record is from RNAcentral.